RNAcentral lists this long non-coding RNA (739 nucleotides) under Homo sapiens (human). Its description in RNAcentral is "HSALNT0365626". The record is from RNAcentral. Lineage: Eukaryota; Metazoa; Chordata; Mammalia; Primates; Hominidae.
GUAAAUUUAAAUGCAGUCCAGAGUAGUGAAGGCCGUUUGUAAGGUCUGCUGAGCUAAUGGAUUCAUAAUGACUUUUAAAGCUUCACUCGGUACAUCCUAUGUGCCAGACACUGCGAUAGGUUCUGGAGAUAACAACAGUGUCCAAGAAACAACAGUGUCCAAGAAACAGGACUUUCCCUCAAAGAGCUUACUGGGGAAGCCAGCAAGACCAGCAGACAAACACAGCUGCACUGGGGGAGAGCCUGCUGAAGCUGCUUGAAUCUCAACACUGUCAUACCCGCCAUCUCAUUAUCUACAGCCACAUCUAAAACCCACAUGAAAUACCAAGUCACACGCGGCUCUGGGAAAGACAUUUUACAGAGACCAUCUUAUGAGUUUUUAAUCUGCCUCCUGAGAACUUACAAUCUAAGAAAUAGAAAACUGAUUCCAGUAAGCAUGCCCAGAAUAUGCUAGCAGCAAGAUUAAAACAUGAAACUAUGAAUGUUAAGAAGAACAAUUUUUAAAAAAUCAUUGGACAUCAAACCAAAACAAAUCAUGGUGCCUCCACACAAUGGGAUAUUCCUCAGCAGUAGAAAGGAAUGGACUACUGAUCACGCAGUAAUGAUGACGAAUGUCAAUGUAAUUAUGCCAAGUGAAAGAAGCCAGCCAAAAGGUUCAUAUUAUGUGAUUUUAUUUAUAUGAAGUAUUUUUUAAAAAGGCAAACUAGUCUUUCAAGACAAAAAGCAGAUCCCUGGGUACU